Molecule: long non-coding RNA, 521 nt
Organism: Stegodyphus dumicola
Lineage: Eukaryota; Metazoa; Arthropoda; Arachnida; Araneae; Eresidae
Source: RefSeq, a predicted model, not a curated record
CAGACAACCGUUGAUAUGCGAGAGUGACCUCGUAGAACAGUCUUCGUCGGAGGUCCAAAGGUGAUUGAGUCGGCCGUGAGGCUGUUUUGUUUUCUUACUCAGUUGACGUAAGUGUGUUAUUCGCGGAUCUCGAGCGCGCAAUUUAAGAAAAAGUUUGGUUGAAUCUUGGCAAUUUAUGCAUAAUAUUGGCAUCGAAUGUUCAUGAAGUUUGUUAAGCACAUGACUGAAUUCAUAUUUAAAUUAUGUGGUUCUAAUAUCGAAUUUCGCUGAAUUUGCAGGCACCGAUUUUAGAGGGCUUCAGAUCAAGGAAGUGCCGGAUGAUUCUUUCCUUUGCGCCAUAUUGUCGAUUUGUGAGUUGCAUUCCAAAAAGCCUGUCUAACUCACAUGUAUCAAUUUGGAGCAUCCUGGGCAGGGAAAAAUAAAUGAAUAAAACUUCUGGAAAACAGUUGUACUCCUAGUGAUCAUCCCAGUGAAAUAAUUGAGAAACAGGAGUAUAGUAGGAAACAUGUAAAUUACAUGGU